RNAcentral lists this long non-coding RNA (2105 nucleotides) under Sus scrofa (pig). RNAcentral's name for it is "lncRNA (ENSSSCG00060032535.1)". Lineage: Eukaryota; Metazoa; Chordata; Mammalia; Artiodactyla; Suidae. The record is from RNAcentral.
GUCCGUCGAAGGGGCGUGGCGCGGCGCCGCGUGCGGUGAGCGGGCGCGCAGGGCCGCCGCGGGAGGCAGGCGGGCGGUGUCUACGCCUGGAGGGGGUGAAGGCCCCCCACACAAGUUUCCCACCAGGCCCCGACAUGCCUGUCCUUGUGAGGCAAAAACUUCAAUGGGAUCCUUCCUCUCCCUAAAGCCUCGUGGCGGGGCAGCUGGUUCACCCAUUCAAACGGAAGGAUGAGAUCAGUUCAUAGGAACAUGAUGUGAAUGGAAGCAGCCUGUCAUUAUGCAAAUAGUACGACACUCUGAACAGACACUAAAAACAGUUCUCAUCUCAAAGAACCCAGCGCUGGUGGCACAGUACGAGAAGUUAGAUGCUGGGGAACGGCGUUUGAUGAACGAAGCCUUCCUGCCAAACAGUGAUCUCUUUGGACCCAUUACUUUGCAUUCGAAGUCAGAUUGGAUAAACUCCCACCCUGAGGCUCCCCAGGACUUUGAAGAGUUUUUCAAUGAUCCUUACAGAAAGACACCCUCUGCAGAGAAGCACAGUAUUUAUAUACAGUGCAUUGGUAUAUAUUGGUAAUAGGGUGGAUUUGGUUUGGUUUUGCACUGUGCUGGUGCCAGGGAUAGUUUAGCUUCUUGAUCUCAUUUAAGUGGGCAGUUUUUAUAAUCUUUUUUUUUUUCUUUCCGGGCCGCACUUGCUGCAUAUGAAAGUUCUCAGGCUAGGGGGUCCAGUCGGAGCUGUAGCUGCUGGCCUAUGGUUACAGCUCAUGGCAGUGCUGGAUCCUUCACCCACUGAGCGGGGCCAGGGAUCGAACCCACAUCCUCAUGAAUACUAGUUGGGUUCAUUACUGAUGAACCACAAUGGGAUAUUCAUUUGGUUCAUAAUCAUUUUUGAUAUUCAGUCCAGUGGUGGAAGUUUGGUAGCCAAAUUUUGCCUUAAAAGAGGAUGUUUUGUUUCUUUCUAAUUUGCAUUCACACCAAUGAAUGAUAAAGAUAUAUUGAAAAUUCAGAGUUGGUUUAUUUCUAAUUCCAAAUUUCCAAUUAUAGACUGAGGUAAAGACUGUUUUAAUCAUCUUAAAAUCUGUCUUUUGGAGUUCCCUGGUGGCCUAGCAGCAUUGCCACUGCUGUGGCGUGGGUUUGAUCCCUGACCCAGGAACUUCUGCCUGCUGUGGGCGUGGCCAAAAAAAAAAUCUGUCAUUAAAUUUUCUUCCAUAUUAUAGGAUCUCUUGGAAACACAAGGAGUGUCAGUGAAGAAUAUGUUAAAUGGCUCAAAGGCUACUGUGAAGCAUUUUUCUACGGCUUGACAGUGAAACUCCUAGAACCAGUUCCUGUCUCUGCCACCAAGUGUUCAUUUAGAAUCAACGAUGANNNNNNNNNNNNNNNNNNNNNNNNNNGGCAGAUCCUGAAGUUCUUAAAAAAGAGGAAACCUGAAGAUGCCUUUUGUGUUGUGGGAAUAACAAUGAUUGAUCUCUAUCCAAGAGACUCCUGGAAUUUCGUCUUCGGACAGGCCUCUUUGACAGAUGGUGUGGGGAUAUUCAGCUUUGCCAGGUAUGGCCGUGAUUUCUAUAGCUCCCACUAUGAAGGCAAGGUGAAGAAGCUGCGGAAGAAAUCCUCGAGUGACUAUUCAGUUUUUGACAACUAUUACAUUCCUGAAGUCACUAGUGUUUUGCUGCUUCGGUCCUGUAAGACUUUAACCCACGAGAUUGGGCACAUCUUCGGACUUCGGCACUGCCAGUGGCUUGCCUGCCUCAUGCAAGGUUCCAACCACUUGGAAGAAGCUGACCGGCGCCCCCUCAACCUUUGCCCUGUCUGUUUACGCAAGCUGCAGAGCGCUAUUGGCUUCAGCCUUAAAGAAAGAUACCGAGCGCUGGUGAGGUGGAUUGACGAUGAAUCCACCGACACACCUAGAGUUACUCCGAGACACAGUCGCGAGGAUAACGUGAACCUGCCCAAACCUGUGGAAGCCUUUAAGGAGUGGAAAGAGUGGCUAACCCAGUGCCUUGCUCUUCUCCACACAUAAGCACCCUCUCAUAGGAGUAAUUAAAAGAAAUAGCUGCACGUUACUCUUGCAUUUGGGCGGCGUAGUUCAUUGGAAUAAACUGUUGAGUCUG